UGUACUUAUGUGUGUGUUUGUUUAACAUGUGGACAAAUACAGACAGGUGCAAAAAAUCUUCUUUUGCAAUCGAGAACUUACUGUUCAGUAUGAGUUUUGAUACAUAUAAGAAAGGCUAUU
Piliocolobus tephrosceles (Ugandan red Colobus) is the source of this 120-nucleotide small nucleolar RNA. The record is from Ensembl. NCBI's taxonomy places the organism in Eukaryota, Metazoa, Chordata, Mammalia, Primates, Cercopithecidae.